GCCAGUGUGCAUAGUGGUUUGAACAAUGGACUACAGUUCUGGAGACCAGGGUUCAAAUCCCUGCUCAGCCA
Non-coding RNA from Phrynosoma platyrhinos (Desert horned lizard), 71 nucleotides. NCBI's taxonomy places the organism in Eukaryota, Metazoa, Chordata, Lepidosauria, Squamata, Phrynosomatidae. The record is from the annotation of a GenBank genome assembly.